GACAGAGGGUGCAAACGUUGUUCGGAAUUACUGGGCGUAAAGCGUGUGUAGGCGGCUCCACAAGUCGGAUGUGAAAGCCCUGGGCUCAACCCAGGAAGUGCACUCGAUACUGCGGAGCUUGAGUAUCGGAGAGGUUGGUGGAAUUCUCGGUGUAGAGGUGAAAUUCGUAGAUAUCGAGAGGAACACCGGUGGCGAAGGCGGCCAACUGGACGAAUACUGACGCUGAGACACGAAAGCGUGGGGAGCAAACAGG
Molecule: ribosomal RNA, 253 nt
Filed under: uncultured bacterium
Lineage: Bacteria
Description: partial 16S ribosomal RNA
Rfam family: Bacterial small subunit ribosomal RNA
Source: RNAcentral